This 471-nucleotide ribosomal RNA is filed under the name uncultured bacterium. RNAcentral describes it as "bacterial SSU rRNA". It matches the Rfam family "Bacterial small subunit ribosomal RNA", at positions 917 to 1382 of the family's 1533-position model. The record is from RNAcentral.
GGGCCCGCACAAGCGGUGGAGCAUGUGGUUUAAUACGUCACUAACCGUAGAACCUUACCCAGGCUUGACAUCUGGGGAACCCUGAUGAAAGUCGGGGGUGCUUCGUAAGAAGAGCCUCAAGACAGGUGUUGCAUGGCUGUCGUCAGCUCGUGUCGUGAGAUGUUGGGUUAAGUCCCGCAACGAGCGCAACCCUCAUCCGAUGUUGCCAGCGGAUAAUGCCGGGAACUCUUCGGAAACUGCCCGUGUAAGCGGGAGGAAGGUGGGGAUGACGUCAAGUCAGCAUGGCCCUUACGCCUGGGGCUACACACAUGCUACAAUGGACGUUAACAAAGGGCAGCGAUACCGCGAGGUGGAGCUAAUCUCAAAAAUACGUCCUCAGUUCGGAUUGUAGUCUGCAACUCGACUACAUGAAGUCGGAAUCGCUAGUAACCGCAGGUCAGCUAAACUGCGGUGAAUACGUUCCCGGGCCUU